RNAcentral lists this ribosomal RNA (477 nucleotides) under Desertella sp. MM-2015. RNAcentral describes it as "SSU rRNA". It matches the Rfam family "Eukaryotic small subunit ribosomal RNA", at positions 81 to 561 of the family's 1831-position model. Lineage: Eukaryota; Fungi; Ascomycota; Pezizomycetes; Pezizales; Pyronemataceae. The record is from RNAcentral.
GUGAAACUGCGAAUGGCUCAUUAAAUCAGUUAUCGUUUAUUUGAUGAUACCUUACUACUUGGAUAACCGUGGUAAUUCUAGAGCUAAUACAUGCAUAAAAGUCCCGACCUCUGGAAGGGAUGUAUUUAUUAGAUAAAAAACCAAUGUCUUCGGACUCCUUGGUGAUUCAUAGUAACUUAACGAAUCGCAUAGCCUUGUGCUGGCGAUGGUUCAUUCAAAUUUCUGCCCUAUCAACUUUCGAUGGUAGGAUAUAGGCCUACCAUGGUUUCAACGGGUAACGGGGAAUUAGGGUUCUAUUCCGGAGAGGGAGCCUGAGAAACGGCUACCACAUCCAAGGAAGGCAGCAGGCGCGCAAAUUACCCAAUCCCGACACGGGGAGGUAGUGACAAUAAAUACUGAUACAGGGGGCUUCUGCCUCUUGUAAUUGGAAUGAGUACAAUUUAAAUCUCUUAACGAGGAACAAUUGGAGGGCAAGUC